Molecule: ribosomal RNA, 253 nt
Filed under: uncultured bacterium
Lineage: Bacteria
Description: partial 16S ribosomal RNA
Rfam family: Bacterial small subunit ribosomal RNA
Source: RNAcentral
UACGUAGGGGGCGAGCGUUGUUCGGAUUUACUGGGCGUAAAGAGCGCGUAGGUGGUCCGAUAAGUCGGAGGUGAAAUCCCUCGGCUCAACCGAGGAUCCGCGUCCGAUACUGACGGACUUGAGUGCAGGAGAGGAGAGCGGAAUUCCCAGUGUAGCGGUGAAAUGCGUAGAUAUUGGGAGGAACACCGGUGGCGAAGGCGGCUCUCUGGACUGCUACUGACACUGAGGCGCGAAAGCUAGGGGAGCAAACGGG